AUUUCAUUUUCUUUUCUUCCUUCCUUCACUCUGUUCCCCAAGGAAACAUAAAUAACUUGUUGGUUUUUCUCAUUAAAGAUUCUAUUGGACCGUGCCUGAUAUAUUAUUUGCGUGAGAUUUGAAGGUAGGGACGAUAAUGGAAGGAAAGAAUCAAGUUGGCUCGUCUUCUUCCUUCACUUCUGAGCUCUUUGGUUCUAAGGAUCAAUCCCCAUCUUCGUCUUCUGGGAUUUUAGGGUCUAUAUUUUCUCCAUCAUCUAAGGUGUUAGGGACUGGUUACCUGCCUCCUAGAGAGGGUGUAAAAACUGCCAGUGAGACAUGGAGCCCCAAGAGUGGGACUGCUGAUAGAAACAUCAAGGGAAAUGAGAAUGAAAGUCAGAGUACUUCAUAUAAGGAUAUGAGUUCCAUUUAUCAGGAACAAAGAGUUCAACCUUGCCACCUUAGUUCAUCAAUCUAUUACGGUGGACAGGACAUAUAUUCUCAUCCUCAGAAGACAGAGAAUGCUGGACUAAACCCUUUGUACAAGAAAGAUGGGGGAGAAGAUGAUUCAGGAAGUGCCCCUAGAGGAAACUGGUGGCAAGGGUCUCUUUAUUAUUAAUAGCAUACUUUCCAUCGAAUAAGCUCAUCAAGGUAAAUAGGAAGUCUUAGUGCAGGAUAAUUCUUCCUUGUAUUAUAUGGGAGAGUUAUACGGUAGCGAGAUAGUUGUGGGCGAGCUAGUUCAUUUCUCUGUCCAAACAGCAGAACCAUAACAUGAACCUCUAAUUGUGUUUGGUCUGGACCACGCAAUGUAUGGAGUUGACUGAUUGAUUCUCAGACUAAGUAAACGACUAAAAGCAAGCAGCUUUAGUAUGAUGAAGUCUGAGGGAGCAGAGUAAUCUGAAAGUUCAGCUUCUCUCCAGAUCUAUGUGUCCAGUUCCCUCUUGAUAGCUGCAAGCUACUGAUUCUGUGUACGUUAUGAGACACAAGAUUAGUGAUUUGAGAGUUAAGGGAUAAUUUGUGUAGGUUAUGAGACCCAAGAAGAUUCUUGUGCAUCGCAUUCUACACAGGGUAUUAGUACUUUUAAUAAGAUCAGGAGAAUGAUAGAGAAUAACUGAACGCCUUAAUUUGACAGGAUCAAGUUAUUUUUGACAAUUGUAACAAGUUUACUGAAUCGGUACGUGACAAGUAGAGGGAUUCAUGCAAGAAUGUUUAUGCGUGAUUGGAACAUCGUGACGAACUUGGUCUUGAAAAGUGGAUGCCCUAAUCCAAUUUCUCACUGA
RNA transcript from Neltuma alba, 1256 nucleotides. RefSeq lists it as uncharacterized. The record is from RefSeq and is a predicted model, not a curated record. Lineage: Eukaryota; Viridiplantae; Streptophyta; Magnoliopsida; Fabales; Fabaceae. The transcript has 7 exons.